CUGCUAUCGUGUAGCAAGGGCCCGUACCGUAAACCGACACAGGUGGAUGAGGAGAGGAUCCUAAGGCCGGCGGGAGAAGUGUUGUUAAGGAACUCGGCAAAAUGACUCCGUAACUUCGGGAGAAGGAGUGCUGCGCAAGCAGCCGCAGAGAAAUGGCCCAAGCAACUGUUUAGCAAAAACACAGGUCUAUGCGAAACCGAAAGGUGAGGUAUAUGGGCUGACGCCUGCCCGGUGCUGGAAGGUUAAGGGGAGAGCUUAGCGCAAGCGAAGGUUUAAACUUAAGCCCCAGUAAACGGCGGCCGUAACAAUAACGGUCCUAAGGUAGCGAAAUUCCUUGUCGGGUAAGUUCCAACCCGCACGAAAGGCGUAAUGAUUUGGGCACUGUCUCAACAACACACCCGGUGAAAUUGAAAUACCAGUGAAGAUGCUGGUUACCCGCGCCAGGACGGAAAGACCCCAUGGAGCUUUACUCCAGCCUGAUACUGGGAUUCGGUAUUGCAUGUACAGGAUAGGUGGGAGGCUAAGAACUCAUGGCGCCAGCCGUGAGGGAGCCGAUGUUGGGAUACCACCCCUGCAGUACUGGGUUUCUAACCUGCGCCCGUGACCCGGGCGGGGGACAAUGUCAGGCGGGGAGUUUGACUGGGGCGGUCGCCUCCGAAAGGGUAUCGGAGGCGCUCAAAGGUCUCCUCAGGAUGGUUGGAAACCAUCCAGAGAGUGCAAAGGCAGAAGGAGGCUUGACUGCGACACCGACGGGUGGAGCAGGUACGAAAGUAGGACUUAGUGAUCCGGUGGCAUAAAGUGGGAUUGCCAUCGCUCAACGGAUAAAAGCUACCCUGGGAUAACAGGCUUAUCACUCCCAAGAGUUCACAUCGACGGAGUGGUUUGGCACCUCGAUGUCGGCUCAUCGCAUCCUGGAGCUGGAACAGGUUCCAAGGGUUGGGCUGUUCGCCCAUUAAAGCGGUACGCGAGCUGGGUUCAGAACGUCGUGAGACAGUUCGGUCCCUAUCCGGCGCGGGCGCAGGAUAUCUGAGAGGAGCUGUCCUUAGUACGAGAGGACCGGGAUGGACCGUCCGCUGGUGGACCGGUUGUCAUGCCAAUGGCACGGCCGGGUAGCCAAGACGGGAAGGGAUAAACGCUGAAGGCAUCUAAGCGUGAAGCCCCCCUCAAGAUGAGAUAUCCAUACUCGAAAGAGUGAGAGACCCCUUAGAGACGAUGAGGUAGAUAGGGCAGAGAUGGAAGUGCAGCGAUGCAUGGAGUUGACUGUUACUAAUCGGUCGAAAGCUUGAAAAA
This 1290-nucleotide ribosomal RNA is filed under the name metagenome. RNAcentral's name for it is "bacterial LSU rRNA". It matches the Rfam family "Bacterial large subunit ribosomal RNA", at positions 1621 to 2925 of the family's 2925-position model. The record is from RNAcentral.